RNAcentral lists this transfer RNA (70 nucleotides) under Athalia icar. RNAcentral's name for it is "tRNA-Cys". The record is from RNAcentral. Lineage: Eukaryota; Metazoa; Arthropoda; Insecta; Hymenoptera; Athaliidae.
AAUUUUAUAGUUUAUAUAUUAUAAAACAUUAGAUUGCAAAUCUAAAAAAAUAAAUAACUUAUUAAAAUCU